Molecule: ribosomal RNA, 167 nt
Filed under: Pagurixus anceps
Lineage: Eukaryota; Metazoa; Arthropoda; Malacostraca; Decapoda; Paguridae
Description: partial 16S ribosomal RNA
Source: RNAcentral
UCUUUACAUUAUAAAAUUUUAAAUUUGAAUUUAUAAUUAUAGAGCGUUUAAUAUUUAUUUUUGUUGUGCUGGGGCGGCAUAGAUAUACUAAGAAACUGUUUAUAAAUUAAAAUCAGUAAUAACUGUUUAGAAUAUUUGUUCCUUGAAUAAGAUUAUAAGAUUAAGAU